GUCUGCUAGUAGGAACAACAAAAUUGCUUAACAAUGUAUUUUUCCUGGGCCAUAAAGGGUGAACUCGCGACGAUUCCAGCCAUCCUGCUGGCUUGGCAAUUGUUAAGAUUCAGCCGGUUUUUGGUCUAAAUUGAGGAUGAGCAGAUCUUGAAAUGCCCAACUCAUUGUACUUGGGUGAAAAAGGAUACUAUGGAAGUGUCAAAAGUACAAACUAGUAUUAAGUGGUCUGCAUGGGCGUGUAAACAUAUGUGCUUUGUCCAUACUAUCUGGUACAAGAGGGGCACAGACCUGGAGGCAGUAUGCUGAGCUACCAACCAGUUCCACUUAGUGUGGGACAUCUUACCGAGAGUCACAGCUAGUACCACCACAGAAACCUUCAGGCUGAUGCCAGAAUCCUGUACUGAUCUACAUGGAUGCUGGAAGACUCUGUAGAUGCAGGUCAAAGUGGGAAGGAUUUCUUAAUAAUAUUGAAAUACAGCCCCACUCUGCCUCUUUAUUUUUGCUGUCUCCUUUUUCUGAGCUAAAUUUUACCAAUUUCCCUGACCAGAGCUCAUUGCAGUGGCAGAGCUAUGACUCACCUGGUAGUUUCUGAGAUUGCCAGGCAUUCCCUUCUAAAUCUUUUCAUCCCCUUCAGCCUAUUUUUAAAUGCCUGGCCUCUGUUCUUAAGUGCUGGUAUUGAGCAAAAUAUAAAUACAGUGCAACCCCUGGUUUUAACCUUGGUCUUGAUCCUCCUCCUAUUCUAGUUAAAUGUAAUAAAAAAGAAAGGUAACAUGAAAAUGUAUAUAAUUUUUUUAAAGAUGUUUAGAAUUCUUUAAAAUACAUGAGUCAGCUAAGCAUUUAAAAGUAAAAUAUAGAUAUAAAAUUAUUCAGACAGGGUGAUAUAAUAUAGAAUUUAAAUUGAGCAUAUUUUAGCAGCACUGGGAAACCUUACCCCAGAGCUAAUAAUGUAAUAGAUCUAUCUCACCAACAACUUGGAAGUUGCAACAGAGUUUUAUCCACAAAGGAGAGUUCUCUGGCCUACUUUAUUAAAUACCUUAGAGGACUUUGCCUGUAAGAUUACAUUUGAACAAUGUGAUUUAUUAAAAUCUCAGUUCUUAUUUUUCCUGCUGAAAUUUUAGACAUUUUCUAUGGAAAAAAUGCAUAAACAAAUCCAACAGGAUAAAUAAACAUCAUUCAACAAAUGUUUCAUGAAACAGGCAUAUAAGGAAAACAUCCCAUAGUUUAUUUUUCAACAUCGCUUGUAUACUCAUGUUUAUGCAUCUCCCUCUUUUGCUAUGGUAUAUCAGACAAAUUAUGUUCCUGAUUAAAAGUACUUUUCAAAUCUGAAGCAGAGCUGGGAAAAUAAU
Molecule: long non-coding RNA, 1346 nt
Organism: Oxyura jamaicensis (ruddy duck)
Lineage: Eukaryota; Metazoa; Chordata; Aves; Anseriformes; Anatidae
Exons: 3
Source: RefSeq, a predicted model, not a curated record